ACGCUGGCGGCGUGCCUAAUACAUGCAAGUAGAACGCUGAAGAGAGGAGCUUGCUCUUCUUGGAUGAGUUGCGAACGGGUGAGUAACGCGUAGGUAACCUGCCUUGUAGCGGGGGAUAACUAUUGGAAACGAUAGCUAAUACCGCAUAACAAUGGAUGACCCAUGUCAUUUAUUUGAAAGGGGCAAAUGCUCCACUACAAGAUGGACCUGCGUUGUAUUAGCUAGUAGGUGAGGUAACGGCUCACCUAGGCGACGAUACAUAGCCGACCUGAGAGGGUGAUCGGCCACACUGGGACUGAGACACGGCCCAGACUCCUACGGGAGGCAGCGGUAGGGAAUCUUCGGCAAUGGGGGCAACCCUGACCGAGCAACGCCGCGUGAGUGAAGAAGGUUUUCGGAUCGUAAAGCUCUGUUGUAAGUCAAGAACGAGUGUGAGAGUGGAAAGUUCACACUGUGACGGUAGCUUACCAGAAAGGGACGGCUAACUACGUGCCAGCAGCCGCGGUAAUACGUAGGUCCCGAGCGUUGUCCGGAUUUAUUGGGCGUAAAGCGAGCGCAGGCGGUUUGAUAAGUCUGAAGUUAAAGGCUGUGGCUCAACCAUAGUUCGCUUUGGAAACUGUCAAACUUGAGUGCAGAAGGGGAGAGUGGAAUUCCAUGUGUAGCGGUGAAAUGCGUAGAUAUAUGGAGGAACACCGGUGGCGAAAGCGGCUCUCUGGUCUGUAACUGACGCUGAGGCUCGAAAGCGUGGGGAGCGAACAGGAUUAGAUACCCUGGUAGUCCACGCCGUAAACGAUGAGUGCUAGGUGUUGGAUCCUUUCCGGGAUUCAGUGCCGCAGCUAACGCAUUAAGCAUUCCGCCUGGGGAGUACGACCGCAAGGUUGAAACUCAAAGGAAUUGACGGG
RNAcentral lists this ribosomal RNA (902 nucleotides) under uncultured bacterium. Its description in RNAcentral is "bacterial SSU rRNA". It matches the Rfam family "Bacterial small subunit ribosomal RNA", at positions 33 to 917 of the family's 1533-position model. The record is from RNAcentral.